Molecule: ribosomal RNA, 254 nt
Filed under: uncultured bacterium
Lineage: Bacteria
Description: partial 16S ribosomal RNA
Rfam family: Bacterial small subunit ribosomal RNA
Source: RNAcentral
UACGGGGGGAGCAAGCGUUGUUCGGAUUUACUGGGCGUAAAGGGCGCGUAGGCGGCCAGCACAAUUCAGUUGUGAAAUCUCCGAGCUUAACUCGGAAAGGUCAACUGAUACUGUGCGGCUAGAGUGCGGAAGGGGCAACUGGAAUUCUUGGUGUAGCGGUGAAAUGCGUAGAUAUCAAGAGGAACACCUGCGGCGAAGGCGGGUUGCUGGGCCGACACUGACGCUGAGGCGCGAAAGCUAGGGGAGCGAACGGG